ACAAACUUGGUCAUUUAGAGGAAGUAAAAGUCGUAACAAGGUUUCCGUAGGUGAACCUGCGGAAGGAUCAUUAAAGAGAUAGGGUCUUUUCGGGCCCGACCUCCAACCCUCUGUCUACCAAACUUCAUGUUGCUUCGGCGGGUCCGUCUUUUGGACCGCCGGAGGGCUUCGGCCCUCUGGUCAGUACCUGCCGGUGGCCAACCAACCAAAACUCUGAAUCGAAUCGUGUCUGAAUUAAUUGAAAAAAUUAACUUAAAAAACUUUCAACAACGGAUCUCUUGGUUCUGGCAUCGAUGAAGAACGCAGC
Molecule: unclassified non-coding RNA, 307 nt
Filed under: uncultured fungus
Lineage: Eukaryota; Fungi
Description: partial contains small subunit ribosomal RNA, internal transcribed spacer 1, and 5.8S ribosomal RNA
Rfam family: Eukaryotic small subunit ribosomal RNA (bases 1-73)
Source: RNAcentral